RNAcentral lists this long non-coding RNA (692 nucleotides) under Callithrix jacchus (white-tufted-ear marmoset). RNAcentral's name for it is "lncRNA (ENSCJAG00000086508.1)". The record is from RNAcentral. Lineage: Eukaryota; Metazoa; Chordata; Mammalia; Primates; Cebidae.
UGCCUCACAGCAAACGUUCAUGGAAUUUAAGUCCCGUUGCUUUUUGUUCUGAGGCCGAGGUAAAGAGACCUAGAGAAGCGUUCUCUGGCCAGCAGCGUUGCAGGAGCAGAUCUUUAGCCUUCGUGUUGCAGAAUUUUCUCCAGCGGCUGGUCAGGAUGAAAGAGGAAAGGAGACAUAAGAGUAAUUGCUGCUGAACGGAAAAAACGUUGGCAUCUCAGAGUUAUUACCUUUGGCAACUGAAGAUUUAACAAUGUGAUUUUUACUUUUCCUCUGUAAUUAUUUGAAUGCAUGGCACUUACACGUGGAUUAGCUUGAGGGCAGAUUAAACAGAAAUGUUCUAAUAGCUCCUAUUCUUAUGUAUAGAUUAUUUUCAUAUUUCUUAGGCUUUUUGUUUAUGUAUUCUGCUAUGUAAAUUAAUGUUAACAGUCUGGUUUGUUAGUGACUGAUUGUUGAGGGCCAUAUUCUGAGUAAAGAUUCUAAUUUUGAAAAUAAGUGUUACUAGCUGCCUAUUAAAUUUCUUCAUUUAAUGUAAAUAUGAAAACUUUAUUAUUGAAAAGCACGUCUUUCUUUUAAGGAAGCUGAAACCCUAAAAUAAAAUCUAAAAGUUAUUGCUAAUCCUGAGCAGCUAAUAGAGUCCUUCAUCCAAACAUUUGGAUCAGUUUUAUAUAUUCAAAGGGGUUUCUGGGGCUGAG